Molecule: ribosomal RNA, 253 nt
Filed under: uncultured bacterium
Lineage: Bacteria
Description: partial 16S ribosomal RNA
Rfam family: Bacterial small subunit ribosomal RNA
Source: RNAcentral
UACAGAGGUCUCAAGCGUUGUUCGGAUUCAUUGGGCGUAAAGGGUGCGUAGGUGGCGCCGUAAGUCAGGUGUGAAAUUUCGGAGCUUAACUCCGAAACUGCAUUUGAUACUGCGGUGCUUGAGGACUGGAGAGGAGACUGGAAUUUACGGUGUAGCAGUGAAAUGCGUAGAGAUCGUAAGGAAGACCAGUGGCGAAGGCGGGUCUCUGGACAGUUCCUGACACUGAGGCACGAAAGCUAGGGGAGCAAACAGG